This 403-nucleotide ribosomal RNA is filed under the name uncultured bacterium. RNAcentral describes it as "bacterial SSU rRNA". It matches the Rfam family "Bacterial small subunit ribosomal RNA", at positions 976 to 1380 of the family's 1533-position model. The record is from RNAcentral.
UGGGCUUGAAAGUUAGUGACCGGUCCUGAAAGGGAUCUUUCCGAAAGGACACGAAACUAGGUGCUGCAUGGCUGUCGUCAGCUCGUGCCGUGAGGUGUUGGGUUAAGUCCUGUAACGAGCGCAACCCCUACCAUUAGUUGCCAGCGGGUAAUGCCGGGGACUCUAGUGGAACUGCCUGCGUAAGCAGUGAGGAAGGUGGGGAUGACGUCAAGUCAUCACGGCCCUUACGUCCAGGGCUACACACGUGCUACAAUGGUCGAUACAGAGGGCUGCUACUUGGUAACAAGAUGCUAAUCUCGAAAGUCGAUCUCAGUUCGGAUAGAGGUCUGCAAUUCGACCUCUUGAAGUUGGAUUCGCUAGUAAUCGCGCAUCAGCAAUGGCGCGGUGAAUACGUUCCCGGGCC